Peromyscus maniculatus bairdii (prairie deer mouse) is the source of this 3411-nucleotide non-coding RNA. NCBI's taxonomy places the organism in Eukaryota, Metazoa, Chordata, Mammalia, Rodentia, Cricetidae. The record is from RefSeq and is a predicted model, not a curated record.
UAUGGCAGUUUGCUGUACCAGAAGUGGCACCUGAAUGUGUCAGUUUUGAGAAUACAGUUGAGCUCGGUUAGUUUACUACAGUACCCUCUGUUUCUCUUGUGUCUGCAUGUCUGUGUGUGUCUUUCUGUUAUCCAUGGUUUUCUUUUGGCUGAUGUUUUUCUUUCUUUUUAUCAUUUUACAACAAGAAAUCAUUGAAUUUAGAAAUAUAUUUAUCAGGAUUGGUUUGAUGAAACUGAUUGAUCUCAGAUGCAAUUAGUUUCUUCCAUUUUGUAAAUUUUAUAUUUGUGCCCAUUGUGACUCCUUCCUUUCUUCCCGUCUCCUCUUACUCCUUUCUCUUCUUCCUCCUUUUCUGUUUUUUUUUUCCCUAAUUUCACUUGAAUUGGGCAAGUCUUCAAUAGGUUGCUUUAAUGCUGGCUUAACAUGGGUAUCAUAAAAUUUAAACAUAUGUAGUAUCAAGACUUUUUUUAAAUUUUUUUUUUAUUUUUUAUUUUUUGGUUUUUCGAGACAGGGUUUCUCUGUGUAGCUUUGCGCCUUUCCUGGAACUCACUUGGUAGCCCAGGCUGGCCUCGAACUCACAGAGAUCCGCCUGGCUCUGCCUCCCAAGUGCUGGGAUUAAAGGUGUGCGCCACCACCGCCCGGCUAUAGUAUCAAGACUUUUUGAACAAAGCUUUCUAGAACGUGCUUUAAUUCUCCCUGGAACACAUUCCGUGUUAUUGUUGCCUAGAGAGUUAGAUGUUCAUUAAAAAUUAGUAUUUUCUAAUUGAUUUUUAAUUAAAUUCCUCAGUAUACCUUAUCAAUUUCUGUACCCUCUCCAGUUUUGCAUAACUGUUCUUCACAGUCAUGAUGUUGUGGUAACAGACAGCUUGAGAAGGGGUGGCUUAGCAUGCUGUGUUCCCUGUCAGCCGGGGCUCAGUUCCUGAGUUCUGAAGGUCCCCUAAAGCAGCAGUCCUGUUGGGAGCUGGUGGAGGGGCUGGAAGAUAGGGCUGGGAGAAUAUUCUAGUUCUUUAAACUUGGGGGCCAGAAAAUUAGAUCUUGUUUCUGUCCAUUUUCCUUUGACUAAUAUCACUUCAAGAGGGACAGGAGAAUAUCAUUUCUUGUGGACAGGCUAGGGAGAGGUGGUGAAUUGUAGACGCUCAUGGACAGGAUCAUGGGAUAUGGUGGCUUGUGAAGGCUUUAGGUUGGUUUCUGUUACUUUCCUAAUGGAGCAUGUUCUUCAGUGAUUGUUUCAUUUAGCAUGUGUGAGCAGCACACUCUCAUUUUCCCACGUGUAAGAGCCGUUUUCUUACCCUCACACUUAGCGAGCUGUCUGAGUGUGUCUAUGGUCUGAGACUGACCACGUCUUGCUAGACUCCCUUUGAAAUGUUCUGCUGCCAUCUUGGCUUGUGCUAAGAUUCAGAGAUCUCUGCCGCCUCACUGCCCCGGCUUUGCAUGUCAUUUCUUCCUUUUGGCGGCAUUUAGACGUUGAUUUCUGGACUGAGCAUGGCAUUAGUCUCCGCUAUCUUCUCAAAGCUUGGUCGUGUACAUUUAAUGACAGGCCUGUGUCUGUCUUCAGUUCUGAAAGUCCCGAGCGUUGCUUGUUCAGUUCCAUUGUGUUGGGGUGCCCAUUAGAUAUGUGCCAGAGCCGCUCAGAUUGCCUGUGUCUUCAACCCCGUCUAGAAUUUAUCCUGUUCAUUUUUUCUAUUUUCUCAUAUAUAUUAUAUACAAAAUUACAUAUAUUUCCAAGAUUUCAUUUAACUUUCAUAAGCACCUUUUCUAUUUCAUCAUUUAUUUUAUUUUUUUCUGGGUGCUCUUCUUUUAUCUUCUUGGCCAUUUUAACCAUAUUUUAAAGUAUUUGCUCAUCGUUUUAUGACAUCGAUUUCAUUUGGAACUAGCUUAAUUAAUUGAUGUAUUUUGAUGGCUCUCUUAGCAUUAUCUUUCUUUGUUUUACGGUUUGCAUUUAUGAGCUCAUGUGUGGAGAGACAAUGUCCCCUCGCCCUCUUCCUUUGUGCUUCCAUCUUCUUGUGCGGAGGUCGACCCCUUGUGUCGACUUAGGCUCCCACGCCCCAGCUAUGAAAAGGUCAGAUGGUCAGAUGGUACUUGGGAUGACACAGGGCAUACAGCUCAUUGGUCCACAUAGAGGACCAUUUUCUUCUCAUCCUUCACUAGACGCUGUGUUCUAACACCCCGGCCCCCAGAUGCUGAGACAUUUACUCUUCAGCCUUCGAAGCCAUUCCGGAGGCAGGGAGAGCUACCACAGCCUAGGCCCCAGGCAGUGAACUCCAGCUACUGUCAUGGAGCUGUCUGUCUGUCAUGGAACAUGGAACAUGGAACAUGGAACAUGCUUAGCCUCCAUUGUGUCUGGUAGGAACAAGCUCCACAGCCAGCACCCGAGUCUGAAAGCCUGUGAUGCUUGCUCCGUUUUCCCCUCAUUAUUACUCGGGGCUUUUGCUUCCUGCUUUGAUUCUCCAAGAAUGUCUGACUUGAUUUUGAGCUGGAGACAGCUCUCUGGUCUGUUGUUACUUUUACUUAUUUAUUUUUAAUAUUGUUGCUGGGUUUUCUUUUUCAUCUAUUGUUUCUAAUUGCUUGAAGGAGGAGGAGAAGAUCAUCUUUAGGUUGCGAACUCACUAAGCUGUCCUGUUGGGAGACCACUUGUCUCCACCCUCUCUGCUUUAUCUAAGCACUAUAAAAAUGAAAGUCCAUAGCUGCUAAUGCAAGGAAACUCAGAACUGCAGGCAAGACUACGAGGCACAUUUCAGAGUCACAAGAGUCAAAUCCUACGCUGGAUUCCUUAACAACACCUUCUUAUCAUGUCAAGCAGAGAAUAACCACUGUGUCAAAUGCUUUUGGCCAAGAUUGCAAAUACAUAGGGAAAUUCAGCAAAGGUCAAACAUAAUUGACAUCCACAUCUAGCUGGUCAUGGGCUGUGAUGCCUUUGCCCACAUUCAUAGGUUUCAGUCCUUGUCCUAUGACUUCAGAAUGUGACAAAAUUUGGAGAUAGAGUCUUUAUAGUAAUUAAGAAGAGGUCAUGGGGUAGGCACUAAUUCGUGUGCAACUUUAUUGUUUUUAAUUUAAUUUUGUGUGGUGUUGGUGAUUGAUUCCCAGGGUCUUGCACAUGCUAGGCUAGCACUCUACCACUGAUCUACACUCCCAGCCCAGUGGGCUCAGGUUCAGUGCAACUGGUGUUCACAGGAUAAGAUGUGAUUAGAACACAAUCAGAUGCAGAAGACAACCAUGUGAAGACAGCUCCAAUGGCCAGCUGCCAGCUCAGAAGAAAACAACCCUGCUGAUCUCUAAUUGGGGAUUUCCAGUCUCAAGAACUAAACUGCUGCUGCUGCUGCUGCUGCUGCUGCUGCUGUGUGUGUGUGUGUGUGUGUGUGUGUAUGAUAAUACAUACUAGAUGUUCUUGUUCAAUAAAGACAUUAUGAAAAGACA